UCAGGAAACAUCUUAAAGUUCCCUACAGAUGACACAAAGACUGCCUUCAGACUAGAACUGCAACAUGGGCUCUUUCUGGGUCUUCAGUCUGCCAGCCCACCCUGCAAAUUUGAUUUGCCAGUUUUCAUACUCAGAAAGGCUAAAACUGAAAAGACUGCCUAUACCACAUGUUGGUGAGAAUGUAAAGAACCUGGAUGGAUCUCUCACAUGUUGCUGGUGGGGAUGUACAACCACACAACUGCUUUGAAAAACAUGGCACAAAUAAAGUGAUCAAACGCUUGUGCCUUUGGAAAAUUCAGUUCUUUUGGGAACUGAAAUCUCGGCAAAU
Molecule: long non-coding RNA, 328 nt
Organism: Mustela erminea (ermine)
Lineage: Eukaryota; Metazoa; Chordata; Mammalia; Carnivora; Mustelidae
Exons: 4
Source: RefSeq, a predicted model, not a curated record